AAUUAAUCCCCCUGCUUGUGCAUAGCAUGGGACUUCUCCACCCCUGGUACUGGCUUUGCUCUGGGGGUAACAGCCUAGCCUUGCCACCUUGCCUCUCUGCUCAAGAACCACUGGGCUACACAGCCUCCUGAGGUUCUCUCCAGCCCCUCUGGUCAGAUGUGGUAGGGAGGCACUCUCCACAGCAUGUGGGGCCGUGACUCAGCUCCUUGCUUAAGUGUAAGCAAACUAGGCUCUAGGGCUGGCAAACCUCCUUAUUUAAGAUCCAGCAGAUCUGUACCCUGCCAAUUUCUCUAAUCUGAGUGCAAUGCCGACUUGGUUUUGCAGAUAAGCAAAACCCCACUGGUUCGGAUUACUACUUGGAUGCUGCAGGUAACCAAGCCAAAGUCUCAAGGACCCUUAAUGUUCAGCUUCAAAGAAGUGAGUAAAAUAAGCAAGAUUAGCCUGGCCAGUAGUGGAUAAAGGGUGGUUGUGCUUCCCUAUCUCACCACACUGACCCUUUAUUUAAUGAAGAUGGAGAUGGAAAGGAAAAAGGAAAAAAAAAAAUCAAUGCAUUUUCCAUACUAGCAGCUGGUGUGCAUAUCACCCGGGACUCAAGUCUAAGGCAGGACCUACCCCCAGACAGGCUGUCUGGUCAGCACUCCAUUCCAAGGAGAAAAAAGAAGAAAAAAAAUCAGCGAAAGGAA
Long non-coding RNA from Panthera uncia (snow leopard), 683 nucleotides. RefSeq lists it as uncharacterized. NCBI's taxonomy places the organism in Eukaryota, Metazoa, Chordata, Mammalia, Carnivora, Felidae. The transcript is spliced from 4 exons. The record is from RefSeq and is a predicted model, not a curated record.